UGGGGAAUAUUGCACAAUGGGCGCAAGCCUGAUGCAGCCAUGCCGCGUGUGUGAAGAAGGCCUUCGGGUUGUAAAGCACUUUCAGUCGUGAGGAAGGUAGUGUAGUUAAUAGCUGCAUUAUUUGACGUUAGCGACAGAAGAAGCACCGGCUAACUCCGUGCCAGCAGCCGCGGUAAUACGGAGGGUGCGAGCGUUAAUCGGAAUUACUGGGCGUAAAGCGCAUGCAGGUGGUUUGUUAAGUCAGAUGUGAAAGCCCGGGGCUCAACCUCGGAAUUGCAUUUGAAACUGGCAGACUAGAGUACUGUAGAGGGGGGUAGAAUUUCAGGUGUAGCGGUGAAAUGCGUAGAGAUCUGAAGGAAUACCG
Molecule: ribosomal RNA, 364 nt
Filed under: uncultured bacterium
Lineage: Bacteria
Description: bacterial SSU rRNA
Rfam family: Bacterial small subunit ribosomal RNA
Source: RNAcentral